This 1305-nucleotide long non-coding RNA is filed under the name Apteryx owenii (little spotted kiwi). Its description in RNAcentral is "lncRNA (ENSAOWG00000016665.1)". Lineage: Eukaryota; Metazoa; Chordata; Aves; Apterygiformes; Apterygidae. The record is from RNAcentral.
GGGGCUGGCAAAUGUCCAGCGCUUCACAACCAGCUGGACGCAGGCUUGGGGCUGUGCUACUCUGAAAGAAAUGCUAGGCAAAAGCUGUAGCCCCAGCAGGGAGCAUCUUCUCCAGCUCACCUGGCUCUGAAGUGCUGGCCCAGCUUGCUGUCAGAUGAAAAUGUGUUUAGGAACAAAUGGGGUUAGAUGAGAAGCGUGAAAAUCUACCAGAUUGAAAGACAGACAAGAAAUCUCGGCGCAGACUGCACGCACCUUCACGUUGCAUUAUUUUUGCUCAUGAUUUAACUUCAAAGUCUGACAAACACUCUGGCAGGAGGAGCCCUCUCUUAAGAGUCAACGCUGUCACUCUCUCUGGAUGGUGCAAAGCUCUCCCACCGCUACGAACUCGGGCAGCCAAACCAUAGUGAAACCCACCUUCAAAUUCUGCUCCUUCCAAGCCUGAAAAGCAAGCCGGAAAAUUGACUGGUGCUGCAGCGAGAGCAGUGCCAAUCCACAUGGCGUACGGCAGCGAGGCAGCGUAGGCGAGCAUCCGGUGGCUGCUCUGCCACCCACGGGGCCUUCGCCUGCCAGAGGGGAGACGGUGCCACCGAGGGACACAGACGUGUUCACUGGCUCGAGGGAAGGUGCAAGGCAGGGCCUCAGCGAGCCAGCAGCAGGAAAAUACAUGCAGUGCCUGCAUUCUCAAUAUACCAUGUUUGCAGCACUUCUUUCCAGUGGACGCAGAAGAUGUGCAGAAGCGAUGCUUGAACAGUGGCUCUGUGGAGCUGAUGAGAGCUGGUUUCCAGCCCACACCCCGCAUGAGCAGCUUGAACAGCACAGUCUCUUCGGCCUGGCCUAGAAGAUCAAACUGCUGAGCCUGAGACUCUGGGCAGUGGAGUCCUGCUAAGUGAAAGCACUUUUUAAUGGGAAGCGAAUGGAACUCGUUAGCGUCUGCCAUUUUAUUAUGUAGGUUGAAAAUUACUUAUUAGCAUGGAUGCAUUCACUCUUCAUGCUGAUCAUUCAUAUGUUUUGCUAGAAGAGUACAAGUACAUUUAUCUCCAAGCCAAGGAGUAUCUUGUAUCUCUCUAAAUCAGUGAGCUGAAGACAAAAAAAAAAAAAAAAAAAGAAAAGAAAAGAUGUGGGUACUCAGUAUGUUCCGAUUCCCUUGCCUUGGCAGUAGAAGUCGAGAGUUUGCUGCUCUGUGCUCUUUUGUGCUUUUGUGUCUGCAUGAGAGAACUGAACUGCUGGUAAACUGCCCGGUGGGACUGUGCAAGCAGAGCAGGACGCUGCAGUCCAUCCCCCUUUGCCUCGCAYGGUCUCGUGCCC